Long non-coding RNA from Chinchilla lanigera (long-tailed chinchilla), 4941 nucleotides. The record is from Ensembl. NCBI's taxonomy places the organism in Eukaryota, Metazoa, Chordata, Mammalia, Rodentia, Chinchillidae.
GGGCCUGCCCGCGCGGGGCUCCCUCGUGGGAGAAGGAGAGCACCACGAGGGCCUCUCAACCCGGGCAGCACGUAUCCGUUUCUCUUCACUACUUCGGUCUUUCGUGGAGUUUGCGCUCGGUGGAAAUAUAGCCACCAUUUUGGGUGUGCAGAUUUUGUGAGCAAUUAAGUGUGCACAUUUUGCAUCGGUUCCCUCUAAUGCAGGAACGUCGGUGUAAAGGUGUAAACGUCAGUGGCCUCAGUGUAUCAAGUCGCGCUUACAUUGUGACCAGUGAUCCCCUGGUUCCCGGGUCCUGGCGGUGCGCGGAGGGAGGACCAGAGAGAGAGAAGUGGGUGGGGGACAGUUUGCCUUCUUUUUCUUAAAACUGGAGCCCAUGUUAUACAUAGUACAAAAUCUAAGUCCAGCGGCAACGUGUUCGCAGCCCCGCCUAGGAGGACGUCUGAUUGAAUCUCGGAGGCGUCUGUGCCUCUAGGGACCCAAAUGCACACCGAAGCCGCAGGCUGGCCAGCAAUGCUCUCACUGCGGAGAAUCCGGGACGAUGAACGGUCCCCAAAGCUCUGACCCCAAGGCCAGCGGGGCCCGUCUGGGUCCUCCCCGGGCCUGCGAGGGCUGGAUGGGCCUGGGCGCCCCGCGGCCUCACUUCAGGGCGCGAGCAGGCAGCCGCCGGCAGGAAGCGCGGCAGGGCGUGCCUGUGGAGACGCCUGGCCCGCUGCAACUGGCCUUUUAAAAACCUACUAAGUGCAUUGAAGCAACGAGUGCGUCCUCGUGGAGUCGCGCUGGCUUUAGAUGACUGCGCUCCUCCUUGCUAACCUGUCGCUCCGGGUUUCUUCCGAGACAGCGCAAGUCUCAUCCUCCGCAGGUGCCUGCCUGCCUGCCUGCCGCGCCCCCUGAAGUCUCUCGACCUCACAGGGCCGGAGAACCCGCAGACUCCGGCCUGUGCAAAUCCUCCAUCUCCCUUAGCUCUGCGGGCCUCUCCAGCCCCAGCUCAGAGAUCUUGGCGCAGGCCCGCACCUUCUGGGGUGAGGGUCCACCUCCAGGCGUGGGCUUUGGAGAAGGGAGUGAGGUGCAGCAGCGUGGCCGCACAGAGAAGAGGUGCAGAGGGCACGUUUCUGGGAAGUGGACCGGCCGGAGUUCCUCUGAAGGUUUGGAAUCCCAGGAGACAGCGUUAGGAACGGGAGGCCCCGGCCCCAGUUCCCGUGCAGGCGGUGUUUCAAGACUACUGGUCCCUUGCCCUGUGCUGGAGCAGGUCAAGACCUCCACGGUGAACGCUGCACAGAGCUCCCCAAGCUGCUCUGAAUCCUUGGGGUUUUUGUUUCCUGAGAAUGUUUCUGCAAGACAGACCUUGGGAGAACUUAGCUCUGUGCUGCCAGCAGCUCUUGUGCAUUCCUGCUUCCGGACACCAGAGCGCACCUCAGCGCUGGCCAGCGGUGUGAGCAGAGCGCCCCUGCUGCGGCCACCUCCGGGUCACCGAGCCAGGAGCAGGGAAGAGGCCACUACGGCGUUGGGGACACUGGCUCCCAGCUGGCAUCGAAGGACUGUGCAGGCUGGAGAGCUGCUGCCGCAGCCUUCCCGUGUUCUGAGGCACAGAGCGUCCCUGGGGUGCUGGAAGGAGUCACCUCCGUCCAUGUGAACAAGUCCCGAACGUGGGAAGCGCAGGGAGGAGGGUGCAGAGACGGCGAUGCCCAGGUAGGCCAUGUUUUGGGUUUUCAGGUACAAGGGGGCUGGCCCCAUUUCAGGGCCCAAAAGCCUUCAAAGAGGGGAGCAGCUCAGGGCAGGCUCAGCUGCUUUGAAACUGUCUGAAGGACCUGUGCUCGAUGUCAGCCACUGUCGCCUCUGAAGGCCAGUCACAUGGGGCUGCAGCACUGUUCUUUCCUGUGAUUUUAGAGAUUAAAAGUGUGUACUGUCGGCCACGCGUGUGGUACCUGUGUGUAUUCCCAACACUCAGGAGGCUGAGGCAGGAGGAGUGACGGAGUGACGCUGCGAUCAAUGCCAGCCUGGAGUAUGUAGUAAGACCCUGUCUCAAAAAAAAUAAAAAUUAAGUGCUAGCUUUCAGAAGAAACAUUAUAAACAUAGAAGUGUAAUAUGCUAGUUUGGGAAAAUUUGAUUGAAAAUAUCGCUUCCCUAAAAUUUUUCAUUUAUGUCUCCCCUCCUGUCUCAUUUCCUCCACCAUUAGAAGCCCUGGCGGUCAGAAUCGGGGACACGAAUGCCAUGUGAGUGCGGCUGUCUAUGUCACUUACUGUGUCUCACACUUCCAGUGAAUGUAGGGAAGACUCUGAGAUUAGCGCCACGGCUGUGGAGAGACCGGAAGACGGGGAGAGGGCCCGGGGAGGGCCAGCAGAGCCUGGGAGAGGACGGCCGAGGCAGAGAGGAGCGCUGGUCAGAGGCAGAGGCGAGUUGGUCCGGCAGGCGCCACUGGACACCUGGCCCCGGCCCUUCCUCCCUCACCACCCCUGCCACUGGCAGACAGCAGUGAGAGGCCUUUCUGGGCUCCUGCACCCGAGCUGUUUUCCCUGAAGCCCAAAGAGGGGAUCUCUGCACCUAAGUCUGCUCACGGCCCCUGCACAGGGGAGGGGUCCCAGGCCAGGCCUCGCUGGGACUCACAGGCCUCCUGCCUUGCUCUUUGACCUGUUUGCAGGAGAUUGAGCGCAGAGGGCUGUCCCCUGCACCAGCAUGAGCGCAGGGCUUCUGUUUGCCCACAGGAGUGACGCCCUUCAGGGCCUGCUCACCCUGCAGCCUGCCCCCUGCUGCCCCUACUCCCUGAGCUGGGCACCUGACUUCCACUGCCCUGCACACAGCAGGCGCCCUCCCAGGUGGUGCCUCCUCCUCGCUUCCGACCUCAAGACCCUGUGCUGGUGCCGCUGGCUGCUGUGCAGCCGCUGCAGGGGACACUGGCUUCGAGGGGUGCUGGCUGUCCUUCUGCAUCCCCCCUAGCUCUGUGCAUGCCGGCACACCCGGGGCCCCAGGCAGACACUGAUUAGAUGCACGGGUGCGUGAGAGAUUGGCUCUCGGCAGCUCAGCUUUAUGUCCAAAGGCAACAGCAGGGCUAGUGGGCCCGAAAUAAUGACAUAAUAAUGACAUGGACAUCUGCCCUCUGAUCCCGCUGCCCUGCUGCUCCGGAACCUUCUCCACACCUGGGCAUUGUUGGGGUUCCUAUCUGGACAUUCUCUAGCUGACCCCACAGUCUCAUGGCAUCUUGGGGGGGGCUUUGGGAGGCAACUGGAUUAUGAGGCUGUUAGCUGGCCUGCUGUGGGGAGGGGUCUGGUUGGAGGACACGGGUCAGUGGGUGUGGCCUGGAGGGGUCAUCACCCUCCCCAGUCCACCCUUCCCUCCCUGCUUUGCCAAUGGCACGCCGUGAGCAGCUCUUUUCUGCCAGGGGGGUGCCCUGCCGCCCUGCCCUGGAGCCAGCGGCUGUGGCUGGGACCUCCGCACGCUGUGGACAACCCUCUCCUCACAUAACCCUGGUGUCUGUGCGCAUCGUGUCCCAGCACAGGAAAAGUGAUGGGGACGGUCAUGUGGGCUGCACGGGAGGCAGUGCCAGCACUUCGCACCCUGGGAGCCCAAAGUUCUAAGACCAACAGGUGCUCACAUUCAAAAUAACAUUUAAGCCUAAAACUGAACUUCCGACUUGCGAAUCAGCCCAAAGCUGUGUCCUGGGAGGACAGUGAGCGUCCCGGUGACCUGCCUGCCCCAGUGCGUAGCUCUGGAUCGAGUGAAGGAGUGGCUGUGUGUUGACAUUUGGGAAAAGGAAACUGAAAUAAAAGCAAAGCAAACUUUGAGGUUAUUUUCAGUAAAAACUUCAGAGCGGGCGUGAGCUACUGAUGACCAUCUAAAAAGUGGUUUAGGCCCCAGCCAGGUUUUCAUAGACAUGCACGCACUAGCUUAUUCUAACGUGUGGAAAAGAGAACCCCUCAGAAGAGCUCAAAGAGGGUUUAAGCAGCAGAAGCGGGGGGGCCAUGUACCUGCUUCUGAGGCAUUUUGUACUGUGGGUGUGGAAAUGAGAGGGCGGUACACAGGGCAAGGGAGAGCCACAGCGGCAGAGCGGACGGACAGCCCAGGGUCAUUGUGCUCACACCGGCCCCAGUCACUUGUUUCUUAGGGUCUGGGUUUGCCCCAGGACUGUACACCUUCAAGGCCAGCGCUGUGGUGCUGACCCCCGUGCCACCCCUGCUCAUUUUUGACGACGAUGGAAAAGCAACUUGGUGAGGGGGACGCAGCCGUCUCAGCAGCUGGAACCGGAGCAGCCAGGCAGCACCAAGACAGUGCCAGGUUUUGUCCAAGAGAAAGAGUUUCUUCAAACAGCCGGGUGUGGAGACAGAAGAGCCUCAGUCCUGUCACAGAGGACGGGGCUUAGGGACACUUGCAGGUGAGGAGCAGGGUGGUGCAGGGCAGGGGAGCGGAGGAGAGAGCCGCACAAUGGUCACCUCCGCAGCCUCUCAGAGGACACGUGUUCAGACAGCAGCAGCACUGAUGCGAGCAGAGGGGCGUCUUUGGUCCCCUGGUGUCAGAGAAGUCCCUGUGAGACGCCUGCACGGGCCCAGCCUCAGAGCCCACAGUUCCCACCAAAGCAGCCUCGUGUUGCGGAAGCCACCCUAUCGGCCUGCAUGCCCACGACCCACACGCUGGGCAGUUGCUCCCCGGCGGCAGGGGCAGGAGGCUGGAGACGUGGUGCUCGGCUUCCUGACCUGCAAAAUGCGUGAUGUUUAAAGUCACCGCAGAGCAAGUCACUGCACGCAAGUGUCCCUCAGCUUCAAGUCUGUACUUCUCGGUCUGCAGCCGGGACCCCUGCUCGUGGACAGAGAAGAAUUGCUGGGCAAGGCCUGACUGUCUGGCCCUCUUCAGGGAGCCUGCGGUCUUGGAGAUGCACAUGGCACCACCCAGCCUGGGCCUGUCGUGCUGGUGACCACACCUCCAGUAGGUGAACCGGGCUCCGUUGUCCUCUGG